UUUUCAACAUGGAUUGUAGCUUUUCCAGGAGGAUUCAACAAAAACCACAUGUUCAUAGCUCCAAAGUUCAAUUUAUCAGUGACUAGAUGAAAUACAUGUUUCUCUGGUUCCUGCAAAAUAUCAAGUCAAGUCGUAUUCUUUAACAACCCACUAGAAACAUCAAACAUAGUGCUAAUUUCGUUAAUGCCAAGAUAAGAUAUCAAAUCGUAUCCCAACAACCCACUAGAAACAUCAAACAUAGUGCUAAAUUCGUUAAAGCCAAGAUAAUAGGUGAUGAACUACAGGAACAUGCAAGGCAGCGAAAGAUAUCCAAGGGUACCGCAAAUAUAAUAUGCAACUUUUUUAUGUUUGUGAUUGUUAUCAUGGAUCGGAUAGAGUGAUAGUGCACCAGCAAGUAACAAGUCAGAAAAUAGAAUAGAGUAGAAAAUAGAAUAGAGUUUCUUAAACAUCCAAAUA
This 456-nucleotide long non-coding RNA is filed under the name Nicotiana benthamiana. Its description in RNAcentral is "long non-coding RNA (NBEN_LNC038083)". Lineage: Eukaryota; Viridiplantae; Streptophyta; Magnoliopsida; Solanales; Solanaceae. The record is from RNAcentral.